This 2930-nucleotide ribosomal RNA is filed under the name Proteus mirabilis. RNAcentral describes it as "23S ribosomal RNA". It matches the Rfam family "Bacterial large subunit ribosomal RNA". Lineage: Bacteria; Pseudomonadati; Pseudomonadota; Gammaproteobacteria; Enterobacterales; Morganellaceae. The record is from RNAcentral.
GGGUUGUGAGGUUAAGCGAAUAAGCGUACACGGUGGAUGCCUAGGCAAUCAGAGGCGAUGAAGGACGUGCUAAUCUGCGAAAAGCGUCGGUAAGGUGAUAUGAACCGUUAUACCCGACGAUAUCCGAAUGGGGAAACCCAGUAUCCAAUGGAUACUAUCAUUAACUGAAUCCAUAGGUUAAUGAGGCGAACCGGGAGAACUGAAACAUCUCAGUACCCCGAGGAAAAGAAAUCAACCGAGAUUCCCCUAGUAGCGGCGAGCGAACGGGGAGCAGCCCAGAGUCUUAAUCAAUAGCAGUGUCAGGAGAACGGUCUGGAAAGUCCGGCAGUAAAGGGUGAUAGCCCCGUAUCUGAAGAUGCUGUUAUUGUGAACUCGACGAGUAGGGCGGGACACGUGUUAUCCUGUCUGAAUAUGGGGGGACCAUCCUCCAAGGCUAAAUACUCCUGAUUGACCGAUAGUGAACCAGUACCGUGAGGGAAAGGCGAAAAGAACCCCGGCGAGGGGAGUGAAAAAGAACCUGAAACCGUGUACGUACAAGCAGUAGGAGCCUCUUUAUGGGGUGACUGCGUACCUUUUGUAUAAUGGGUCAGCGACUUAUAUUCUGUAGCAAGGUUAACCGUAUAGGGGAGCCGUAGGGAAACCGAGUCUUAACUGGGCGAAUGAGUUGCAGGGUAUAGACCCGAAACCCGGUGAUCUAUCCAUGGGCAGGUUGAAGGUUGGGUAACACUAACUGGAGGACCGAACCGACUAAUGUUGAAAAAUUAGCGGAUGACUUGUGGAUGGGGGUGAAAGGCCAAUCAAACCGGGAGAUAGCUGGUUCUCCCCGAAAGCUAUUUAGGUAGCGCCUCGUGAACUCAUCUUCGGGGGUAGAGCACUGUUUCGACUAGGGGGUCAUCCCGACUUACCAACUCGAUGCAAACUGCGAAUACCGAAGAAUGUUAUCACGGGAGACACACGGCGGGUGCUAACGUCCGUCGUGAAGAGGGAAACAACCCAGACCGCCAGCUAAGGUCCCAAAGUCAUGGUUAAGUGGGAAACGAAGUGGGAAGGCUCAGACAGCCAGGAUGUUGGCUUAGAAGCAGCCAUCAUUUAAAGAAAGCGUAAUAGCUCACUGGUCGAGUCGGCCCGCGCGGAAGAUGUAACGGGGCUAAACCAUGCACCGAAGCUGCGGCAGCGACACAAAGUGUUGUUGGGUAGGGGAGCGUUCUGUAAGCCUGCGAAGGUGUACUGUGAGGUAUGCUGGAGGUAUCAGAAGUGCGAAUGCUGACAUAAGUAACGAUAAUGCGGGUGAAAAACCCGCACGCCGGAAGACCAAGGGUUCCUGUCCAACGUUAAUCGGGGCAGGGUGAGUCGACCCCUAAGGCGAGGCUGAAAAGCGUAGUCGAUGGGAAACGGGUUAAUAUUCCCGUACUGGUGGUAACUGCGAUGGGGGAACGGAGAAGGCUAGGUUGUCCGGGCGACGGUCGUCCCGGUUCAAGCAGGUAGGCAGAGUGAUUAGGCAAAUCCGGUCACUUAAUGCUGAGAUGUGAUGACGAACCACCAAGGUGGUGAAGCAAUUGAUGCCCCGCUUCCAGGAAAAGCCUCUAAGCUUCAGGUUACCAACAAUCGUACCCCAAACCGACACAGGUGGUCAGGUAGAGAAUACUCAGGCGCUUGAGAGAACUCGGGUGAAGGAACUAGGCAAAAUGGUGCCGUAACUUCGGGAGAAGGCACGCUGGCGGUAGGUAAAGUCCCUCGCGGACGGCGCUGAAGCCAGUCGAAGAUACCAGCUGGCUGCAACUGUUUAUUAAAAACACAGCACUGUGCAAACACGAAAGUGGACGUAUACGGUGUGACGCCUGCCCGGUGCUGGAAGGUUAAUUGAUGGGGUCAGCCGUAAGGCGAAGCUCCUGAUCGAAGCCCCAGUAAACGGCGGCCGUAACUAUAACGGUCCUAAGGUAGCGAAAUUCCUUGUCGGGUAAGUUCCGACCUGCACGAAUGGCGUAAUGAUGGCCAGGCUGUCUCCACCCGAGACUCAGUGAAAUUGAACUCGCUGUGAAGAUGCAGUGUACCCGCGGCAAGACGGAAAGACCCCGUGAACCUUUACUAUAGCUUGACACUGAACAUUGAGCCUUGAUGUGUAGGAUAGGUGGGAGGCUUUGAAGUGUGGACGCCAGUCUGCAUGGAGCCAACCUUGAAAUACCACCCUUUAACGUUUGAUGUUCUAACCUAGGCCCAUAAACUGGGUCGGGGACCGUGUCUGGUGGGUAGUUUGACUGGGGCGGUCUCCUCCUAAAGAGUAACGGAGGAGCACGAAGGUUGGCUAAGCAUGGUCGGACAUCAUGCGGUUAGUGCAAAGGCAUAAGCCAGCUUGACUGCGAGAGUGACGGCUCGAGCAGGUACGAAAGUAGGUCUUAGUGAUCCGGUGGUUCUGAAUGGAAGGGCCAUCGCUCAACGGAUAAAAGGUACUCCGGGGAUAACAGGCUGAUACCGCCCAAGAGUUCAUAUCGACGGCGGUGUUUGGCACCUCGAUGUCGGCUCAUCACAUCCUGGGGCUGAAGUAGGUCCCAAGGGUAUGGCUGUUCGCCAUUUAAAGUGGUACGCGAGCUGGGUUUAGAACGUCGUGAGACAGUUCGGUCCCUAUCUGCCGUGGGCGUUGGAAGAUUGAGAGGGGUUGCUCCUAGUACGAGAGGACCGGAGUGAACGCACCACUGGUGUUCGGGUUGUCAUGCCAAUGGCAUUGCCCGGUAGCUAAGUGCGGAAGAGAUAACCGCUGAAAGCAUCUAAGCGGGAAACUUGCCUCGAGAUGAGUCUUCCCUGUCGCUUUAAGCGACCUAAAGGAACGUUUAAGACUAAGACGUUGAUAGGCUGGGUGUGUAAGCGUAGCGAUACGUUGAGCUAACCAGUACUAAUGAACCGUGAGGCUUAACCUGACAACACCGAAGGUGUUU